Molecule: ribosomal RNA, 477 nt
Filed under: uncultured bacterium
Lineage: Bacteria
Description: bacterial SSU rRNA
Rfam family: Bacterial small subunit ribosomal RNA
Source: RNAcentral
AUUGAACGCUGGCGGCAUGCUUUACACAUGCAAGUCGAACGGUAACAGGUUAAGCUGACGAGUGGCGAACGGGUGAGUAAUGCAUCGGAACGUGCCCGGUCGUGGGGGAUAACGUAGCGAAAGUUACGCUAAUACCGCAUACGAUCUAAGGAUGAAAGCGGGGGAUCGCAAGACCUCGCGCGAUUGGAGCGGCCGAUAUCAGAUUAGGUAGUUGGUGGGGUAAAGGCUCACCAAGCCAACGAUCUGUAGCUGGUCUGAGAGGACGACCAGCCACACUGGAACUGAGACACGGUCCAGACUCCUACGGGAGGCAGCAGUGGGGAAUUUUGGACAAUGGACGCAAGUCUGAUCCAGCCAUUCCGCGUGCAGGAUGAAAGGCCCUCGGGUUGUAAACUGCUUUGUACGGACGAAAAGGUUUCUAUUAAUACUAGGAGCUCAUGACGGUACCGUAAAGAAUAAGCACCGGCUAACUACGUG